GCCGGGCAUGGUGGCACGUGCCUGUAAUCCCAGCUACUCAGGAGGCUGAGGCAGGAGAAUCGCUUGAACCUGGGAGGUGGAAGUUGCAGUGAGCCGAGACUGUCACUGCACUCCAGCCUGGGUGACAGAGUGAGACUCUGUCUCAA
Molecule: non-coding RNA, 146 nt
Filed under: Gorilla gorilla gorilla (western lowland gorilla)
Lineage: Eukaryota; Metazoa; Chordata; Mammalia; Primates; Hominidae
Source: Rfam by way of RNAcentral